Xenopus laevis (African clawed frog) is the source of this 1021-nucleotide long non-coding RNA. RefSeq lists it as uncharacterized. The transcript has 3 exons. NCBI's taxonomy places the organism in Eukaryota, Metazoa, Chordata, Amphibia, Anura, Pipidae. The record is from RefSeq and is a predicted model, not a curated record.
UAAUGUCCAAGUCAAGGUUACACUGCCUUAGAAAAGACGAGGAAAUAAAUAAAAAAACAUUGGGGAGGGGAAACGGCUUGCUGUGGUGGUUGCUAUAACAUGUAUCUGAGAUAUUUACUGAGAUCUUACACGCCUUAAUUCCAGGAUGACUAACUAUACUAGAAAACAGCGGAGAAGAGUCUGAAGCUUAUUUCCUUGAUGAGAAAUGGAGAAGCUGAAAUUUUAACAUAAGCAAUGGCCUAUUGUUCAAUCUGAUACAGAACUUACGGGCAUUAAUCGUAAACGAAUUCGCUUUGGACACAGGAGGCACAGGAACAUAAAAGAACUUCUGUCACCGGCGGACCCGAUCUACCAAGGGGAGGCAACAUUGAUCAAGCUUUAUUACAGAGAGAAGCAUUUUGGACAUAUAAACUGAACUGUGUUCACCCGAGGGGUCUGAAUAGCUCAUUAUCAUUGAGCUGCUUCCUGUGAGUGAAUGAGCUCCCUAUGUAGUUAACAUAUAAGUGUAAUAACGUAAGGAAUUAAUUUAUCUGCCAACGGUAUGUGUUCUGUUGUUCCAUGUACUUAGUACGUAAGCUGUCUUUUUGCCUCAGACCUAGAUAAGAGCCCCUAAAAGUGGUUGACCAGAAUGGGAAUUUUUCCCACAAUUGUUUUAGGAUUACACAGCUAGUAUCCGAUUCUAAGGGAGCUCGUAUAUACCUUGGGGCAUUUGUAAUUGUUUUUAUGUAUAUGACUUUUAGCCAUUACACAUUAAGUAUUGUAGCUACACUGUUACUUUUAAAACACAGGUACUAUUUUAUCGAACAUAUUGUUCAUGCACAUAUUUAAUAUUUUAUGAUAACAUAUUAAGGGUGGUACACAUGGUAUUGCACCAAGUAACAUGAUGAAUAUAUUAUUGGCAUUUGUCGGUCUUUUACAUAUUAACUUUAAAAUUGUUCUUAAAGUUUUUUGAAAAUGCACAGCAGUCACUAAUUGCUAUUGAUGUCACUUCCUUUUGUUGGGUAUUUAUGGUGAUUGGGAA